Lagenorhynchus albirostris (white-beaked dolphin) is the source of this 1855-nucleotide long non-coding RNA. RefSeq lists it as uncharacterized. The record is from RefSeq and is a predicted model, not a curated record. Lineage: Eukaryota; Metazoa; Chordata; Mammalia; Artiodactyla; Delphinidae. The transcript has 3 exons.
CAGUCUGAAGCACUGAGCUAUCUGAAUUCUUAAUUUCCAGACCUAGGAUCUACUAAUCUUCCUUGGUCAAACUAUUUACCAAGUGUUUUUGGAAAAACACAGUGAUACAGUAAAAAAUAAAAUUAAAAACUGUAAAUCACCAAAUACUUUACAUUUAAAUAUAAGUUCUUAAUUGACUUGUAGAACUAGAAGGAUUCAGCAACAUCCUCAAUUCACAGAUGGAAGGAUGCAACUUCUUCCCCACCAAAGGGCCUUCAUCCCUUGUUCCUUCUGUGAAAAUCCUUUUCCCUCUGCAUCUUCACAUGGACAGCUCUUUCUGAUCCUUGGGGUCUCAUGUGAAACGUCACUUUUCAGAUAAGCGUUUCCUGCAUAACCCAUCUAAAUCUCUCUCUCCCUUGUCCUUUGCCCUCUUCCAUUAGUCUCCUUUUUACCACCCUAGUUGUUUCCUUUGUACUGAGUGUCAUCACAAAUGGUAAUUAGAUAUUUAACUACUUUAUACUUGUUUAUCAUCGGUCUACAAGCUCCUUGAGAGCAAACUAUUAUAUUAACCUCUACAUAGAAGUGCCUCAUACAGUGCCUACCAAAUUAUAGCCUCUCAAAAACCAUUUCUGGGGUGAGUGAAUGAAUGAAUGAAUGAAUGAAAAUUAUAGGGCCCCACUGAAGCUGGAGAUUUUCUAAGCUCAGAAGCAUCAUGUGAUCAAGUUUGUGUUUGAGAAAAGUAACUCCAGCUGAAGAGUGUGGAGGCUGGAUAAGAGAGACCACUUAGGAGACUAGAGAAAGGGUGAUGAGGGGCGGAACUAAGGCAGUUAUGGUAGCAAUGAAGACAAAAGAACAAAUGUGAGACUUUCAAAAUCAGUAAAUAGUACAUAGAACAAAAACUACCAGGUUGUAGGUUAUGUAGGAGAGUUUUAGAUGACUACGGUGUUUUAUUCAUUCCACAAAUAAUUGGCGAUUUAACAGGCAGGCAUGAUACCUGUUAUUAUGGACUUUAUAACCUAGGAGAGGAGGCUCAAAACAAAUCAUUAUAUAUAAACAAAUUAUUUUAUCAUACCUGAAAAGCUACACAGAAAGAACGUGACCAGGUGUAUGGUGUGGCCCUGAGUCAGGAAAUGCAGAAGGAAGAGCAAAUCCAGAGGAGGAAGAUGAUAAAUUCAUCAGUAAUGUGGUAUUAGUAAUCCUUGCCAGUCCUUUCAAAUGUGAUGGUCCCAUGUGCAAAAGCUCUAAACACAUUCCAUAGAUGAAGGCUGUUACUAUUACUCCUCUGUGUCCUUCAUCUCCCCAGCAGAGAACCCCAGACAUGGUCCCUCUAAGAAGUAUAGGGCAGACAUCAUCGGAUGAAUGGAUAAAGAAGAUGUGGCACAUAUAUACAAUGGAAUAUUACUCAGCCAUAAAAAGAAACGAAAUUGAGCUAUUUGUAAUGAGGUGGAUGGACCUAGAGUCUGUCAUACAGAGUGAACAAUCUUGGCGCACAGAUCUGAGCUACAUGCAACAAUGGCACGACUUGGGAGCAACUGAGAAUUUUCAGAAGACAGAUCCCAAAAAAUAUCACUAUAAUUUAUGACAAAGAGUGUUCUGCCUAGGACUUCCCUGGUGGCACAGUGGUUAAGAAUCCGCCUGCCAAUGCAGGGGACAUGGGUUCAGUCCCUGGUCCAGGAAGAUCCUACAAGCCCACGCACCACAACUACUGAGCCUGCACUCUAGAGCCCGUGUGCCACAACUACUGAAGCCUGCGUCCCUAGAGCCCGUGCUCUGCAACAAGAGAAGCCAUUGCAAGAAGCCGCCCACGGACCACAAUGAAGAGUAGCCCCCGCUCACCGCAGCUAGAGAAAGCCCACACGCAGCAAUGAAGACCCAA